This is a non-coding RNA of Oncorhynchus mykiss (rainbow trout), 758 nucleotides long. The record is from RefSeq and is a predicted model, not a curated record. Lineage: Eukaryota; Metazoa; Chordata; Actinopteri; Salmoniformes; Salmonidae.
CAGAAGAGGAAAGAAGGGAGAUCCUUGAGAAGAGGGGUGAGUUAGAGAACACUGAAGAGGAGGAGGAGAAGGACGAUGACAAGGAGGACAUCCUCCCACCUGAUAAAAGUAUCUGAAGGAGAGCCGUGGGCUGGGUAAAUAAGAAGUGGGAGAAGAGGAACCUCAGAAAGAUAGAGAACCUGUCAGAGAGAAGCUGAGGAGGGCUAUAAGAUCGUCCACAUAGUCAUCCCUGGACCCAUAAGGCUAACCAUGACCCAGGCAGAGAGAGAGAGGAAGGAGCUCCUGAAGACUGAGGAGAGAAGGAAUAAGAUGGAGGAUUGCAGUGGAGAGAGCAGUCCCUGCUUAAUAAACGGACUCAUCAGAAACUUAAAGAGGAGAGGGAGAGGAUGAAGGAACAGUACCUAAAUAAACAAGCAAGAGAUUUAAGAUGGGAUGCUUGGCUUUUUCUUUGUCUUGGAUAUUCGCUCUGAUGUUUCAGCCUCUUCUGGAGCUUCUAGCUGCUGGCUGUCUGGCCCCCCCUGAUGGUUCUCUGGCCCCUCCUGCUGGUUCUCUGAACUCCCCUCCUGGUUCUCUGCCCAUGCCUGUUGCCUCCUUGGCCUUUCCUGGUGGCCAUCAGCAGAUCCAGUGGGCUCUUGGCUUACUUGUUGGCCAUUGGCCCACCCGGGCAACUCCUGACCGUGGUUGUAAUCGUGGCUGUGUUGGGUGGUUAGACACCGGGUGUUGAUUUGAGCAUCAGCCUCCAGAUUCAUCUGCUCCAG